RNAcentral lists this ribosomal RNA (1428 nucleotides) under Lacticaseibacillus rhamnosus. Its description in RNAcentral is "bacterial SSU rRNA". It matches the Rfam family "Bacterial small subunit ribosomal RNA". The record is from RNAcentral. Lineage: Bacteria; Bacillati; Bacillota; Bacilli; Lactobacillales; Lactobacillaceae.
UCGAACGAGUUCUGAUUAUUGAAAGGUGCUUGCAUCUUGAUUUAAUUUUGAACGAGUGGCGGACGGGUGAGUAACACGUGGGUAACCUGCCCUUAAGUGGGGGAUAACAUUUGGAAACAGAUGCUAAUACCGCAUAAAUCCAAGAACCGCAUGGUUCUUGGCUGAAAGAUGGCGUAAGCUAUCGCUUUUGGAUGGACCCGCGGCGUAUUAGCUAGUUGGUGAGGUAACGGCUCACCAAGGCAAUGAUACGUAGCCGAACUGAGAGGUUGAUCGGCCACAUUGGGACUGAGACACGGCCCAAACUCCUACGGGAGGCAGCAGUAGGGAAUCUUCCACAAUGGACGCAAGUCUGAUGGAGCAACGCCGCGUGAGUGAAGAAGGCUUUCGGGUCGUAAAACUCUGUUGUUGGAGAAGAAUGGUCGGCAGAGUAACUGUUGUCGGCGUGACGGUAUCCAACCAGAAAGCCACGGCUAACUACGUGCCAGCAGCCGCGGUAAUACGUAGGUGGCAAGCGUUAUCCGGAUUUAUUGGGCGUAAAGCGAGCGCAGGCGGUUUUUUAAGUCUGAUGUGAAAGCCCUCGGCUUAACCGAGGAAGUGCAUCGGAAACUGGGAAACUUGAGUGCAGAAGAGGACAGUGGAACUCCAUGUGUAGCGGUGAAAUGCGUAGAUAUAUGGAAGAACACCAGUGGCGAAGGCGGCUGUCUGGUCUGUAACUGACGCUGAGGCUCGAAAGCAUGGGUAGCGAACAGGAUUAGAUACCCUGGUAGUCCAUGCCGUAAACGAUGAAUGCUAGGUGUUGGAGGGUUUCCGCCCUUCAGUGCCGCAGCUAACGCAUUAAGCAUUCCGCCUGGGGAGUACGACCGCAAGGUUGAAACUCAAAGGAAUUGACGGGGGCCCGCACAAGCGGUGGAGCAUGUGGUUUAAUUCGAAGCAACGCGAAGAACCUUACCAGGUCUUGACAUCUUUUGAUCACCUGAGAGAUCAGGUUUCCCCUUCGGGGGCAAAAUGACAGGUGGUGCAUGGUUGUCGUCAGCUCGUGUCGUGAGAUGUUGGGUUAAGUCCCGCAACGAGCGCAACCCUUAUGACUAGUUGCCAGCAUUUAGUUGGGCACUCUAGUAAGACUGCCGGUGACAAACCGGAGGAAGGUGGGGAUGACGUCAAAUCAUCAUGCCCCUUAUGACCUGGGCUACACACGUGCUACAAUGGAUGGUACAACGAGUUGCGAGACCGCGAGGUCAAGCUAAUCUCUUAAAGCCAUUCUCAGUUCGGACUGUAGGCUGCAACUCGCCUACACGAAGUCGGAAUCGCUAGUAAUCGCGGAUCAGCACGCCGCGGUGAAUACGUUCCCGGGCCUUGUACACACCGCCCGUCACACCAUGAGAGUUUGUAACACCCGAAGCCGGUGGCGUAACCCUUUUAGGGAGCGAG